Lipotes vexillifer (Yangtze River dolphin) is the source of this 1064-nucleotide non-coding RNA. The record is from RefSeq and is a predicted model, not a curated record. Lineage: Eukaryota; Metazoa; Chordata; Mammalia; Artiodactyla; Lipotidae.
AUGUCUAUGGAAAUAUUUGCAGCUACUAAUUUUAUUUGGUUGAACUGUUACAGUGUUGAUUCAUUUUAUUUAAUUAAUUCAUUUAAUCAGGAUGCAAUUUAUCUUGAUUUUGGUUGUAGAGGUUGGCGAUUUGAAGGAGCUGCAGACACUAGACAUUUCUACCAAUCGUUUGCUAACUUUACCCGAGAGGCUUCACCUGUGCCUUUCUCUGCAGUACCUCACUGUGGACCGAAAUCGUCUGUGGUGUGUGCCGCGCCAUCUCUGCCAGCUGCCCAGCCUCAAUGAGCUCUCCAUGGCUGGAAACCGUCUUGCAUUUUUGCCGCUUGAUUUAGGUCGAUCUCGAGAACUACAAUAUGUGUAUGUGGAUAACAACAUUCAUCUGAAAGGCUUGCCGUCCUAUCUGUACAACAAAGUCAUCGGGUGCAGUGGCUGUGGUGCUCCCAUUCAAGUUUCUGAGGUGAAGCUGCUUUCCUUUUCAUCAGGGCAACUAACAGUUUUCCUCCCUGCUGAGGUGAAGGCCAUAGGGACAGAGAAGGAUCACGUCCUGCCUCUGCAAGAGCUGGCCAUGAGGAGUCUGCAUCACACCUACCACAGUUUUCUAAAAGAUCUGGACUUUCUGUCUCCAGUCUCGUUACCCAGAAGUCUCCUGGAGCUGCUGCACUGCCCUUUGGGGCACUGUCACCGGUGUAGUGAGCCCAUGUUUACGAUUGUUUACCCCAAGCUAUUUCCCUUGAGAGAGACGCCAAUGGCAGGGCUGCACCAGGGGAGGACAACUGUGAGUUUUGUGGCUUACUGCUGCUCCACCCAGUGUCUGCAGACUUUUGACCUACUGAGUUGAUAAACACUCAAGAGCCUCAGGAGUGUUGCCAGCUUGACACUGCAGUUGCCUGCAUAUCGCACAGUGUGACAGAGGGACAGGAGAGUCCAGCCAGGCCCAACAGGCCCUUCCGAUCUGUCCUGUCACGCUUGGGGACUGCAGGGCUCUGGAAAUGUCAUGAUCGAGCUUCAGAGCUGAAAUGCCUUCACCCUUCCCCCAAGUUGGAAUAUAUCCUUCACCAAAUUAA